This 75-nucleotide transfer RNA is filed under the name Rhabdochlamydiaceae bacterium. RNAcentral's name for it is "tRNA-Arg". It matches the Rfam family "tRNA". Rfam says of the family: Transfer RNA (tRNA) molecules are approximately 80 nucleotides in length. Their secondary structure includes four short double-helical elements and three loops (D, anti-codon, and T loops). Further hydrogen bonds mediate the characteristic L-shaped molecular structure. tRNAs have two regions of fundamental functional importance: the anti-codon, which is responsible for specific mRNA codon recognition, and the 3' end, to which the tRNAs corresponding amino acid is attached (by aminoacyl-tRNA synthetases). tRNAs cope with the degeneracy of the genetic code in two manners: having more than one tRNA (with a specific anti-codon) for a particular amino acid; and 'wobble' base-pairing, i.e. permitting non-standard base-pairing at the 3rd anti-codon position. Lineage: Bacteria; Pseudomonadati; Chlamydiota; Chlamydiia; Parachlamydiales; Candidatus Rhabdochlamydiaceae. The record is from RNAcentral.
GUCCUCGUAGCUCAGGUGGAUUAGAGCGGUCGCCUCCUAAGCGGCAGGUCGCGCGUUCAACUCGCGCCGAGGACG